UCAAUCCAUCACCACCCACAGCUCGCGAACAUUGUCUAUCAAUGCCGAUUAAACAGUCAGAUCAAACUAGAUUCUCAUAUUAGGUAACAUACAAUAAUCCGGCCAUCCGGGAUAACUCGAAAACGCAACAUCAUCGCUUUCACCUCCUUCUCAUUCUUCUCCGUCUGGUUUUCCGGAGGAUUUCAUCGUUGCCCAUCUCUGCAAUUCCAUUAUUUAUUAAUACUUUUUUUAUUUACAUUCAUUUAUUUCUUGUAAUGAGAGGCCAUGAUUUGAUAAACACGGUUCUUCCCGACGAAUUGAUCAUCGAGAUCUUCAAUCAUCUCGACGGUUCGAAGUUAAGCUGCGACGCCUGCUCUCUCGUCUGCAAGAGAUGGCUCAGACUAGAUAGAUCCAGUCGCCGAACAGUACGAAUUGAAGCCUCAGGUAAUCCCGACGUGGUAGCGAACCUCCUGGUUCGCCGAUUCGUCAACAUCGAAAACGUUUACAUUGACGAAAGGUUGCCGGUUUCGUUGCCGCUCCAGUUUGGGUACUCGACACGGCCAGGAUUGGCCCGGCCGCCUACCGGAAAAAGGCGUCGUGGUAGUAAAUCUGCUCGUUCAUCUUCAAAAAUUCGAUAUUCUUCUGAAAAUAGUGCAUCUGAAGGAAGUAAUUUAGAGCCAUACAGUUUGUCAGAUGCUGGCCUGAAUGCUCUUGCUGAAGGCUUUACAAGACUUGAAAAGUUGAGCUUAGUUUGGUGUUCUAAUGUGACCAGUGUGGGUUUGCAAUCAAUUGCGGAGAAGUGUAGAUCUUUGAAAUUUUUGGAUUUGCAGGGUUGCUAUGUUGGAGAUCAAGGUCUGGCAGCUGUGGGAAAGUGUUGUAAGCAACUUGAAGAUUUAAAUUUGCGUUUUUGUGAAGGCUUGAGUGAUAUAGGCUUGGUUGAAUUAGCCCACGGAUGUGGAAGAUCACUAAAAACUCUUGGUGUAGCAGCUUGUGCCAAAAUAACUGACAUCUCUUUGGAGGCAGUGGGUUCUCAUUGUCCCUUUCUCCAGACCUUGUCACUGGAUUCGGAGUUUAUUAAGAAUAAGGGAGUUCUUUCUGUGGCGCAAGGAUGCCCCUCCUUGAAAGUUCUAAAACUACAAUGUAUAAGCGUUACCGAUGAGGCUCUGCAAGCUGUGGGUGCCUAUUGUUCUUUGUUAGAAUUUCUGGCUUUAUACAGUUUUCAAAAAUUUACUGACAGGAGUCUUUGUGCUAUUGGAAGGGGGUGUAAGAAGCUCAAAAAUCUUAUUCUAAGUGAUUGCUAUUUUUUGAGCGACAAGAGUUUGGAAGCAAUAGCCACUGGCUGCUGUGAGCUCACUUGUCUUGAAGUCAAUGGAUGUCACAAUAUUGGAACAUCUGGGCUGGAGGCCAUUGGAAAAUCUUGCCCGGGCCUUUCGGAGCUGGCUUUAUUAUACUGUCAAAGGAUUGGUAAUACUGCUCUUUCUGAAGUUGGUAGAGGUUGCAAACUCUUACAAGCUAUUCGCUUGGUGGAUUGUUCAAGUAUAGGAGAUGAUGCCAUAUGUGGUAUAGCUCAGGGAUGCAGGAACUUGAAGAAACUUCAUAUCCGUCGAUGUUAUGAGGUUGGAGAUAAAGGAAUCAUUGCCAUAGGCGAGAACUGUAAAUCUCUCACAGACCUAAGCCUUCAGUUCUGUGAUAGGGUUGGUGAUGAUGCUUUAAUUGCUAUUGGUCGGGGUUGCUCGCUACAGUAUUUGAAUGUCAGUGGGUGCCACCAAAUUGGUGAUGCUGGACUAAUAGCAAUUGCAAGAGGAUGUCCUGAACUUGUUUAUCUAGAUGUAAGCGUUCUUCAGAAUCUAGGGGAUAUGGCACUAUUUGAAAUUGGAGAAGGCUGUCCUUUACUCAAGGACAUAGUGCUGUCUCACUGUCGACAAAUUACGGAUGCUGGAUUAACAUAUCUUGUUAGCAGAUGUGCAAUGCUUGAAUCUUGUCACAUGGUUUACUGCCCAUUUGUGACUUCAGCUGGGGUAGCUACUGUGGUUUCGGGUUGUCUCAAGAUGAAGAAAGUCUUAGUGGAAAAGUGCAAGGUUUCUGAGAGAACUAGGCGAAGGGCAGGAUCUGUCCUCUCUUACCUAUGUGUGGACCUUUAAUUGUGGCUACUGACAUUUUUGCACUCAAUUUUGGUUCUGUUGGGCACACCUUAUGCCAGAAGGGAGCUGACUUCAAAAUACUGUGAUAUCUUAGCACUGGAAAGGUUGUAAUCCAGAAAUUCUUUGUGUACAAAGACUUCAGAAAAACAAAGAUGGUACUUUAAUUUUAAGGGGGGGUGGGGGGGUCUCCAACAUUAACUUUAUUGGUAUUGAGCUCCAAAAUUAAGGCCCUAUGUCUGGUUUGAAAAAGCAUUGAUUCUUGAGCACACCAAUGAGGCCUUAGACAAUCAAAUAAAAUCCAAUCCAUUAAAAAUUUGAUCUAUGGACAACAUUUUGUGUUGAAGAUUGUAAUGCUAGAGGAAUCCUUAGCACAGGACAUAGAGGGAGAGAUUAUAAGCAUCUAGGCUGUAAAGAUGAUUUUUGACAGAACUAAAAAAGGACAUCUAACAGAACCGGGUGCAAAUCCAUAAUAAGCAUAUAGAAGUAUUGUACAUCAAAAGUUGUGGUUUCAAAAGAUAGGAUGUGUAUUUUGUGAAUGGGGCGUGUUUUGGAAGAAAUGAGGGCAUCUAUGAAUUCCCUAAGCUCUGACCUCUGAGGUGACUUUUCAAUAAAAAUCUACUAUAUGAGGUUGUACAAUAAAAGCAAAAAAAAAAUGUUAUUAGUUAUAGAGUUUACUCGUUUCUAGAACUGAGACUAGAAACUUGUUCUUGAAUCUCUGGUUUCAAGGAUUCCUCUGGUGAUUUGAUGUUGUGUUUCAUAAAAGGUGCAAUGUGGAUAUUAGCUUACCUUAAUUUUUAUUUAUACUUUGGAAUCCAUAAAUGUGGGU
RNA transcript from Nelumbo nucifera (sacred lotus), 2946 nucleotides. It is a transcript of the gene named F-box/RNI-like superfamily protein, with no coding region annotated. NCBI's taxonomy places the organism in Eukaryota, Viridiplantae, Streptophyta, Magnoliopsida, Proteales, Nelumbonaceae. The record is from RefSeq and is a predicted model, not a curated record.